GACGAACGCUGGCGGCGUGCUUAACACAUGCAAGUCGAACGGAAAGGCCCUGCUUUUGUGGGGUGCUCGAGUGGCGAACGGGUGAGUAACACGUGAGUAACCUGCCCUUGACUUUGGGAUAACUUCAGGAAACUGUGGCUAAUACCGGAUAGGAGCUCCUGCUGCAUGGUGGGGGUUGGAAAGUUUCGGCGGUUGGGGAUGGACCCGCGGCUUAUCCGCUUGUUGGUGGGGUAGUGGCUUACCAAGGCUUUGACGGGUAGCCGGCCUGAGAGGGUGACCGGCAACAUUGGGACUGAGAUACGGCCCAGACUCCUACGGGAGGCAGCAGUGGGGAAUAUUGCACAAUGGGCGGAAGCCUGAUGCAGCAACGCCGCGUGCGGGAUGACGGCCUUCGGGUUGUAAACCGCUUUCGCCUGUGACGAAGCGUGAGUGACGGUAAUGGGUAAAGAAGCACCGGCUAACUACGUGCCAGCCGCCGCGGUAA
Molecule: ribosomal RNA, 484 nt
Filed under: uncultured bacterium
Lineage: Bacteria
Description: partial 16S ribosomal RNA
Rfam family: Bacterial small subunit ribosomal RNA
Source: RNAcentral